Molecule: ribosomal RNA, 254 nt
Filed under: uncultured bacterium
Lineage: Bacteria
Description: partial 16S ribosomal RNA
Rfam family: Bacterial small subunit ribosomal RNA
Source: RNAcentral
UACAGAGGGAGCGAGCGUUAUCCGGAAUGAUUGGGCGUAAAGCGUCUGUAGGUGGUUUAGAAAGUCUACUGUCAAAUACCAAGGCUCAACCUUGGGCAGGCAGUAGAGUACUUUUAGACUAGAGUGUGGUAGAGGUAGAGGGAAUCCCUAGCGUAACAGUGAAAUGUGUAGAUUUUAGGGAGAACACCAGCGGCGAAGGCGCUCUACUGGGCCAAGACUGACGCUGAGGUGCGAAAGCGUGGGGAGCAAACAGG